RNAcentral lists this ribosomal RNA (469 nucleotides) under uncultured bacterium. RNAcentral describes it as "bacterial SSU rRNA". It matches the Rfam family "Bacterial small subunit ribosomal RNA", at positions 29 to 507 of the family's 1533-position model. The record is from RNAcentral.
AACGAACGCUGGCGGCAUGCCUAACACAUGCAAGUCGUACGCCUCACUUCGGUGAGGAGUGGCGGACGGGUGAGUAACACGUUAGUACCUGCCCCAAAGUGGGGAAUAACUGCCCGAAAGGGUAGCUAAUACCCCAUAGUCUCCGGUUUAUCCGGAGUAAAGAUUUAUCGCUUUGGGAGGGGCUUGCGUUUGAUUAGCUAGUUGGUGAGGGUAAUGGCCCACCAAGGCGACGAUCAAUAGCUGGAUCGAGAGGUUGACCAGCCACACUGGGACUGAGAUACGGCCCAGACUCCUACGGGAGGCAGCAGUGGGGAAUUUUGGACAAUGGGCGAAAGCCUGAUCCAGCCAUGCCGCGUGCAGGAUGAAGGCCUUCGGGUUGUAAAGUCCUUUUCUUGAGGGAAGAACUGCCGGGGAGGAAAGUGCCCUUGGCUUGACGGUACCUCAGGAAUAAGCAACGGCUAACUCCGUG